RNAcentral lists this ribosomal RNA (502 nucleotides) under uncultured Glomeromycotina. RNAcentral's name for it is "partial small subunit ribosomal RNA". It matches the Rfam family "Eukaryotic small subunit ribosomal RNA", at positions 591 to 1092 of the family's 1831-position model. The record is from RNAcentral. Lineage: Eukaryota; Fungi; Glomeromycota.
CCAAUAGCGUAUAUUAAAGUUGUUGCAGUUAAAAAGCUCGUAGUUGAACUUCGGGGUCUACCCAUUGGUCAGGCUUAAUUGUCUGCACUGGUGAGAUGGAUCUCUACCUUCUGAGGAACUUUCAUGCCAUUUAUUUGGUGUGAUGGGAAAUCAGGACUGUUACUUUGAAAAAAUUAGAGUGUUUAAAGCAGACUAUCGUCUGAAUACAUUAGCAUGGAAUAAUGAAAUAGGACGGACUGAUUCUAUUUCGUUGGUUUCUAGGAUCACCGUAAUGAUUAAUAGGGAUAGUUGGGGGCAUUAGUAUUCAAUUGUCAGAGGUGAAAUUCUUGGAUUUAUUGAAGACUAACUACUGCGAAAGCAUUUGCCAAGGAUGUUUUCAUUAAUCAAGAACGAAAGUUAGGGGAUCGAAGACGAUCAGAUACCGUCGUAGUCUUAACCAUAAACUAUGCCGACUAGGGAUCGGAUGAUGUUAAUUUUAUAAUGACUCAUUCGGCGCCUUACG